Molecule: transfer RNA, 73 nt
Filed under: Capra hircus (goat)
Lineage: Eukaryota; Metazoa; Chordata; Mammalia; Artiodactyla; Bovidae
Also listed under: 1 other name
Rfam family: tRNA
About the family: Transfer RNA (tRNA) molecules are approximately 80 nucleotides in length.
Source: Rfam by way of RNAcentral
ACCCUGGGGGUCCAGUGGUUAAGACUCUGCUCUUCCAAUGCAGGGGACACAGGUUCAACUCCUAGUCAGGGAA